GUUUGCAUAGUUUAAAAAAAUCGUGAGGCUGUUAACUUUAAGAUGCUUGUUAGUGGGCUGCAAACG
This 66-nucleotide transfer RNA is filed under the name Cichlidogyrus casuarinus. Its description in RNAcentral is "tRNA-Asn". The record is from RNAcentral. Lineage: Eukaryota; Metazoa; Platyhelminthes; Monogenea; Dactylogyridea; Ancyrocephalidae.